This is a long non-coding RNA of Stegodyphus dumicola, 2507 nucleotides long. The record is from RefSeq and is a predicted model, not a curated record. NCBI's taxonomy places the organism in Eukaryota, Metazoa, Arthropoda, Arachnida, Araneae, Eresidae.
UUCCAUAAAAUAAAUGACCACAUAAUUAUCAUUAGAAACAAUUAUAUGAAAAGAAGUAAUUUUAAUGAUAAAGUAAACUGGAACUGGAAAUUAUUAAAAAUGACAUAACAAUUAAGACUAUCACAAAUGGACAUGGAAGUUAUAAUUUUAAUCAGUAUUUGUUGUCUGAUGCUGAUUUUCUGUGCUUUUAUUGUCUCCUGAAAAUAGCUGGAAUUACAUAAUUUUUACUUAUUUAAUUCAUGAAUUUCAGAUACUACUUCAGCAAUAGUUAGUUAUCUUUCAUUCUUCCUCACAUAUUUUAAUGAAUGGAAACACAAUAAAUCACGUUUUUUUCCCCACAUUAUGGACACCUAUUCAGGAGACAAGUAUAACAUUAUGAAAAUAGAAGCUAGAAAUAAAUCUGAGAUUACAAAUUACACAAAUAAAAAAAAGUGCCAUAUUAUGAAUACUUAAAUAGCAAUGAUUUUCACAGGUGUUUUGAAGUAAACUCCGUAUAUAAUUUAUUAUUAUAUUAAAGUCAAUGAUUGGAAAUGUUUUAAAUGGAAUUGUAAUAAAUACCAAGAUAUAAUCAUGUUAUACACAGCAUACUUGGAAGAUUUAGGCUACUUGGAUGUAUGCUGAAUAUUUCAUAAUUUUCAGCGAACACCUCAGCUACUUCAGUACAGAACUUUCAUAGCAUUAUGCUGAUCCAUUUUAACAAGGCUUCCUGGCUAAAUCUUUCAUUUAGGUUUGUUCAUCGUAGUUACUGCUUUCUUUAGCUUAAUAUAUUUCAGUAAUUUGACCCUAGUACUGCUUUAUGACAUGAUAAUUUGCAUUUUAAAAUCAUAUAAAUUGACUAGGGCUAGCUAAGUAUGCACCAAAACUUUUAAACCAGAUUUUUUUAAAAGGAUCACUAUAAAAUAGGCAGUACAUUAGAGAAGAAGCAGUACUAGUUGUUUUUGUACCUAAUGAACAAUAUCAUCUCACUAAUCACUUGCACUUUGAUUACAUAGAAAUUAACUGAAAAUGUUCAUAAAGAAACAGUUAUAAACCACGAGGUAAAGAAUGCAAAAAAUUUGUCUAUUUUAAUCAGGUUACAACUUUUACCUUCGCAUAACUAUUACAAAAUGUCUUCUCAAAAUGAUUAACGAGAAAAGAAAACACAAUAAACUAAAAAAGAGCUAAUGUUAACUGUAAGCAUGAAUAUUGGUAUCUGCAGGUUUAAUGAGGUUUGAUUCUUAUCCUGAAAAAGUAACCGAAUGUGUCAACUUCUAAAAACAUAAAAGCUCCAAUUACCAACUAAGCCAGAAAUUUUACUGUGUGCAAACUUUAAUCUGUACAUUUAUCAUACAAUUCAUUUAAUAAUAACAAUGUUUGAUCACCAAAAUUUUACAUAAAAAAUGUAUAAAAAGGUAACUUAUUAAUCAUGUAUGCUCAUAAUAGGAUAUUCAGACUGCUGAAUUUUUUCAUAUGCAUCUCCAAUUUGUGUAGUAUGAUAUCAAAUAUAUAUCGGACCCAUGAAAAAUUAUUAAUUUUGAAAAACUGGUAAAAUAAUAAUAUAAUUAUAAUACUAAAACUUGUAUAAUAAUAUAAUUAUAAUAACAAUAUUAAUUUUUUAAAUAGUUUUUCUUUUCCUUUAAAGGAAAAUGAUUCUUAUUAAGUUUUUUCUGAAAUGUUUGCUAUCUUUGUGAGAACUUAAGAUUUUACAAUUAAAAAAAAUACAAUAUGUUAUAUAUAAAAUAACAUAGAUUUAAAAAAAGGCAAUUAUUUUAUUACAGUACAAAAUAUUAUUUAAAGCCUCUUUUGUUAUAUAAGAAAUCUGCAUUGCUUCCACGAUGGACGACUAAAAUUGCUAAAACAAAAGUCUGAUUUUGAUUGAUGAAUUACUUUUUUUCAUCUUCUUUCGAAUUAUACAUUUAGAUACAGAGGACCGAUUUUCAGCUUUACUUGCUUCCAAAAAUUUUAAAUGAUGCGUUUAUACAAAAAACUUUCAUCUAGUUUUAACAAAUACUCAAUAGCCAAAAAUGUGACUUCAUUAUGUUUAGCCAAAAAUUAUUAGGUUCCUUUCAUAGCUGCCAGUUUAAUUUGAAUUAAAAUUAUAGGACAUUCAUUCAUAAAAUCAUUACACAAUUUUAAACGUUACUAUUAUUUAAUUACAACAAAACCAUAACAUGUUAUCUAUAUCAUCUGAAUUGAUAAUGAAUAUGAUGCUAUAUUAAAAAUAGAUUACUGGAAAUUUAAAUAUGAUCUGAUGUAUUUAUUUAGAGAAAUUAAAUGUGAAAUAGCUUUUGUAAUUCUCCCCUCCAAAAAAAACCUUAUUUUUAAAAUUUAGGUAGUUUUCUGCAACAAAUAAUUUCAAUACUUUAUAAAUUUUAAACUACAAAGGGAAAUUUUAUUUUAGAUUUAUAACAGUGUUUCCCAUACUGUCUUGAAAAUAAGACUAUUAAAAAAGUAAUUUUCACCAACUUCAAAAGAAGUAAAGCAUACUACUAGCAAGUAAUAUAUGGUAUGGUUUAAAACUUCGCAUU